UUGGACUCUGCUGUGAAGACUGGUUUGCUGGUAUGCCAGAGGCAAGAUGGUAAGAAGCCCAGCUUUGCUCACCAACUUCUGCAUCACAUCUGGUGAGGGGCGUUGGAGUCUCUCCCCAAGGUGGGGUUUGGGAGACUUCUAGUUUCCAAGACAAAACCAGUUUUCAGACUCCCUCCCUUGGAUCAAACAAGGAAGUCGAGGCUUCUGCAGUCCUGAAGAAACAGAUGAGAGUCUGCUCCUCUGACCACCUGUCUUGAUCUGGCCUUACCUGGGGCAGUUGUUGAAGUUCUGAAAAUACCCAGUACAGAGCACCUGGGCGCAGUUCUCACGGAUGCUGGCAGCCAAUCCCAUCCGAGAGGCUGCUCUUGAAAAGGCCCACCUCUCCACACGUCCUGGAGAAACUGGAUACCCUCUUUUUUCUCUGAGUCCCCAGAGGUCCAAGCGCCAUCCAAGAGUAACCCAGACACCAUGCAAGAGAGGCCCAAUCUAGAUCAAAGGAGAGGAACCGAGGCCCCCAGCCAAUAGCCAGCAUCCACUGCCAGACGUAUGAAUGAAGGAUCCUGCAGACGGAUGGUUCCAGUCUCCAGCUUUCGAGUCUUCCAGCUUCGACCCCAGACAUCAUGGAGCAGAGGCAAGCCAUCUCCAUCCCCACUGCACUCCAUCCAAACUCCUGAUCCACAGA
This is a long non-coding RNA of Balaenoptera musculus (blue whale), 682 nucleotides long. RefSeq lists it as uncharacterized. NCBI's taxonomy places the organism in Eukaryota, Metazoa, Chordata, Mammalia, Artiodactyla, Balaenopteridae. The transcript is spliced from 4 exons. The record is from RefSeq and is a predicted model, not a curated record.